Molecule: unclassified non-coding RNA, 3486 nt
Filed under: Leishmania donovani
Lineage: Eukaryota; Euglenozoa; Kinetoplastea; Trypanosomatida; Trypanosomatidae
Description: gene:LdHU3.25.2170(CDS-product:hypothetical_prote in_conserved)
Source: RNAcentral
CCACCGCCACAAGACAGUUAGCAGAACGCGUACCGGCGCCAGCAUGCCACCCAAGCCAGCAGGAGGUCAAAGGGGCUCCGCGAAGAAAGCUAAGCCCGUCUUUGAUGCCUUUGAGCGACUGUGCCAGUACACGUCGGUCUCGUUGCCGAACGCGCCAGGCAGCCACUGCGCCGCCUUGAAGGCUCUAGCGCAGCCCACCAACACACUGAGCACGUCGCCGGCCGCUGUAGUGGUAGGCGGGGAGGCGAGAGCGGAUGGCAGUCAAGCUGCGGAAUUCACCUCUAGCGCCAUCACAAUUAAGCCGCCGCUGCCACGCACAGAAGUGUCGCUCCUCGUGCAGUUCCGCGUCUCCGUCGCGCUGGUGGAGGGGGAUAUCAUCUACAUCCACCUUCCCAAAUUCCGCGGGCCAGUGGCGCAGCAGUUCGCCCUUCAGCGUGUAUUCUCUGGCACCGGCGCUGGUGCAGGAGACCUAGCAGCGGGCAACUUGGUAGAGCGCGUCGACGACAUCGACACAAGCUCCCACUUCCGCGCUUACUGGUCGGGAGACUCGGCGAAGGUCAUUACCCCGGUACGUCAGCUCGCCUUCAAGCGUGGUAAGAACGGCGGGGCGCCGCCGAAGCAGGUGUUGCUGCUCCAGUGCAUCAAGGCCGUCAACGCGAACACGCACCUCGUGUUCGGUGUGCCACGUGCGCUGGGUCUCGUGUCGCCUGAUAAGCUGCCGGCAAACAGCCCAAAGAUCAAGAUCGAGGGCCCCCUGAUUCGCGAGGCUAGCGGGCGGCGCAUCCUUAAGCAGGUAAUGUUCUCCUCAGAGAUCAAGAAGCGCACAGUGGUGGAGGAGCUGGAGGUGUACGACCAGUGUAUUGCGCAUGUUGCGCAGGAGGGCCGGCUGCAGACCGCGGACCGCCACCUCGGCGAGCAGCUGUCACUGGAGGAGGUGGACCAGCUCUGGAAGGCGGCGCAGUGCCGUCGGCGCUAUCCUCUACCGAUGCCAUGGUCCAUUGCGGAAGAGCUCUCCAUCUCCUACGACGCCGCUGGCGGCUUCGUGAAGCGAAUAAUUCAGAACGCAAUCAAGGGCAUCAAGGACUUCGACCCCCUUGCGAUCCACCGGGAGGUGGCGCGCAACUGGGGCGUCAAGGUUGCUGCUGUGGUGGUGCUCGAUGACUUCCUCACGACGCAGUGGGGAGGGCUCUAUCCAGGGCUGCCGCGCGCGUCGCUGUUUGCGAUAUGCCUCCUGACAAUGGAACCGGAGGACGUGGGGCGCACGUUUCCCAGGCUGCUAACGCUGCCGGAGCGCUCGAUCGCCGAGGAUCUGGUCAGCGCUUUCCGCAUGCGGACAACGCUGCUCGACAGCACGUCGUCGGCGCCAUCAGCCGCCGCGGCGGAGGAGGACGACGUAGGGAUCGACGUCGACAGUCUGCCAGACCGCUGCGGCGCGUUCCUUCAGAAGUGGGCGGCGCUGCUCACCGCGCUGUUCCCGGCCUCCUUCGUGGCUGAGGAGAGCGGUGACAGCACCGCCCGGGCAGCCGCGAAGACGAUGGCGGCUGCGGCGCAGUCGCAUGAAUCGAGCGAGGCGGUUGUAGCCAUGAGGGAGGGCGCCGUGGCUGACGUGCAGGUGAUGGGGGCAGACGGAAGCCCCCGCGUCGGCUUUCAGCUGCCAGCCCGGGACGAGGUGGACGACAAUGCGCAGGACGAGGAUGGCUUGGCGUUUGUUCGCAACCGUCGGCGGCACAGCAGCGGAACCAAUACCUCAGGGUACUGUAUGGGCGCCAUUGCCACUCUGCAGCCUCCGCCGACGCUCUACAUUGGCUACCGCGACGUCCCUUUCGAUGUGCAGCGGUCGCUGCGCGAGAUCGAGCGUGGGGACUGGUUUGUGCUCCCCUGCUUCGUGGUGGCGCGGCAGUCGCUGCCGUACGCGGCGACCACCACAGCCAGGCUCGAGCGCCCCGUGACGCUGAACGGCGGAGAUGACAGCACCUCGCAGGUGAAUCCCGCCACGGAGGAUGACGAGAGGAGCGAAGUCGCCAGCGAUGGCGCCAUCGUGGCCAUUCCCGAUAACGCGGUCGUGGUAGAGCUGCGCAACGUCGUGGAAGCUCUGGAGCUGGCCGACCUCUCCUUCUCACCGCACAACCGCGCAUGGCUGCUGCCGCUGGUCACGUCCUGCCGCGUUGUUGCCGUUGAGGAAGACCAACACGACGUGCUGCACGUCAUCCUCGAUAUGCAGGGCAGCCUUCUGGGGCACGUGAACGAUCCCUACCUCCCGCAGAGCGACCGCAGCGUGGCCACGAUGGUCCUCAACAAGUACCUGCUGAAAACGGAGCUGUCCGAGACGUACAUCUCUGCACUCAGCUUCCUCGCGCUGCUGUGUGCACGGCGCAACGAGCGGCGUCGGCUGCACCCACCAACACUCAUUCGCGCGCAGUACCUGUCCCACUGCAACGCGGCGCUCCGCGCCGCUAUCGCGAAACAGCACGUGGAGGAGACGGAGAGCGUUGAGUGGCAGGUGCACACGCACGAGGCGCAGCUGCUCGACGAGGGGGUUGUGAAGCCGGCGGUGUGGGAGCCGAUCCCAAAGAAGUUCAUGCUGACGGUGGAGCAGUUCUUCCUAGGCCACUCCCGCACCCUCACGAAGCUGGAAGAGGGAUCUCUGUCUGUGGACUUGGAGGCCUACACGAUUGACUACGGCGGCAAAGGGCCGCGGGCGCUGCGCCGGGUCGUGCAGAAGGUGUACGUCACACACGAGCCCAUUAUCACGGAAACGUUUACCAUACUGCACGAGCGUGAGGAGCAAUACACGAAGCAGAUUAGCAUGCUCGAUACGAAGCUGGGCAUCAACACGGGCACGGCAUCUGGUACAACUGGUAGUGGGGCUGGGGUAUCUGCUAGCGUCACCGCCAACGGCAAUGGCAGGAAAGGGUCCAGGAAGUGACGUGCCCCCGCUGUGUGACCCUUCGAGUGUGGUAUGCUCACGUGAUGCAUCACAACAGAGGAGAGGCCCCACCACGCACCUCGCCGCUUCCGUGUCGCAGGACCAGCAAGCCUUGGGCCGCCCUAUGUGAUGGCAUACAACUGCUUAUAGUCACGUCGGUGUGUGCGUGUGUGCCUGUCGCCACUGUUGGGGAGUUUGAUCGAGUGCGCUGACAGUGGGUGUCUCGUGUUUCUCGCGCGCUUCCGCUGCGCCACGAGUGUUGUUAGUAAUGUACCGUAUUGUAGAUGCGAAGGGUUGAUGUCCUAUCGGCCCACUCCUCAAUGUAUAUUUAGAGUUUGCCCGAGUAUGUGCGUGUUUUGGUUCUUGAGCGUUGGCGCAGGCGUUCGCGAUGGUGCAUAUGAGUGAAAGAAGAGGAAAGUCGAAGGAGGAAGAGAUGGCGCGAGAGAGCUGUAUGUGCCACCUCUUCUCUUUCUAUGCACGCACACAUAAGCUUCACCGCACCUCUCCCCGCAUGCACUAGCAGGGAAACGCCACCGUGUAACAAGCUCUGCCCCCUCUCC